GCAGAUAAGGCGGGAAGCUAAGGGUUUCCCAUCCGCAAAUCCCUUUUGGGCGGGCCAAUGCUGGCCGAGUGCUACCGGUGCGCUGCAAGCCUGCACCAAGGCGUUGAGAUUUUGCCUUAGGUGAUAGCCUGGUAUGUGAACCAGGCCAGGCCGGAAGGAGCAACCUUAAGCAUAUUUAGGCUAUGCUCUUAAGAUACAGGAUUGAGCCGAGGUGCAGCAAACUUGCCUCGUGCAGGUAAUGCAGAGCCAGCUUUCUGC
Molecule: signal recognition particle RNA, 258 nt
Filed under: Microcaldota archaeon
Lineage: Archaea; Nanobdellati; Microcaldota
Description: signal recognition particle sRNA large type
Rfam family: Bacterial large signal recognition particle RNA
About the family: The signal recognition particle (SRP) is a universally conserved ribonucleoprotein involved in the co-translational targeting of proteins to membranes. Archaeal SRP consists of a 7S RNA and homologues of the eukaryotic SRP19 and SRP54 proteins.
Source: RNAcentral